This 499-nucleotide ribosomal RNA is filed under the name uncultured bacterium. RNAcentral describes it as "partial 16S ribosomal RNA". It matches the Rfam family "Bacterial small subunit ribosomal RNA", at positions 30 to 523 of the family's 1533-position model. The record is from RNAcentral.
AUUGAACGCUGGCGGCAGGCCUAACACAUGCAAGUCGAGCGGAUGAGAAGAGCUUGCUCUUCGAUUCAGCGGCGGACGGGUGAGUAUGCCUAGGAAUCUGCCUAGUAGUGGGGGACAACGUUUCGAAAGGAACGCUAAUACCGCAUACGUCCUACGGGAGAAAGUGGGGGAUCUUCGGACCUCACGCUAUGAGAUGAGCCUAGGUCGGGUUAGCUAGUUGGUAGGGGAAAGGCCUACCCAGGCGACGAUCCGUAACUGGUCUGAGAGGAUGAUCAGUCACACUGGAACUGAGACACGGUCCAGACUCCGACGGGAGGCGGCAGUGGGGAAUAUUGGACAAUGGGCGAAAGCCUGAUCCAGCCAUGCCGCGUGUGUGAAGAAGGCCUUCGGGUCGUAAAGCACUUUAAGUUGGGAGGAAGGGCUCAUAGCGAAUACCUGUGAGUUUUGACGUUACCAACAGAAUAAGCACCGGCUAACUUCGUGCCAGCCGCCGCGGUAA